AAAAAAGGUGACCUAUGUCUUAUCAUCAACCCAUCGUAUGUCUCAUAGAAUGUAAUCGAUAUCCUCGCCCUAAAAAAGCGUUGAUAACUUAUACAACUUUCAACAACGGAUCUCUUGGCUCUCGCAUCGAUGAAGAACGCAGCGAAAUGCUAUAAGUAAUGUGAAUUGCAGAUUUUCAGUGAAUCAUCGAAUCUUUGAACGCACCUUGCGCUCCUUGGUAUUCCGAGGAGCAUGCCUGUUUGAGUGUCAUUAAAUUCUCAACUCCAAGGGUUUCACGACCUUUCGGAGAUUGGACUUGGAGGUGCUGGCCGCAUAUUGGUCGGCUCCUCUCAAAUGCAUCAGCGGAAUUCAACCUUUGGCUUCCGGAUGUCAGUGUGAUAAUCAUGUUGCGCUGUCGUUUGAUCCCUCAGAGUCCGCUUAUAAUGGUCUUCGGACAAAAUCAUCAUCAAAUUUGACCUCAAAUCAGGUAGGACUACCCGCUGAACUUAAGCAUAUCAAUAAGCGGAGGA
Molecule: ribosomal RNA, 509 nt
Filed under: ectomycorrhizal fungal sp. AR-Ny5
Lineage: Eukaryota; Fungi
Description: eukaryotic LSU rRNA
Rfam family: 5.8S ribosomal RNA (bases 95-249)
Source: RNAcentral